RNAcentral lists this ribosomal RNA (253 nucleotides) under uncultured prokaryote. RNAcentral's name for it is "partial 16S ribosomal RNA". It matches the Rfam family "Bacterial small subunit ribosomal RNA", at positions 524 to 776 of the family's 1533-position model. The record is from RNAcentral.
UACAGAGACUGCAAGCGUUAUUCGGAUUCACUGGGCGUAAAGGGUGCGUAGGCGGGUCUUUAAGUCAGGGGUGAAAUCCUGGAGCUCAACUCCAGAACUGCCUUUGAUACUGAAGAUCUUGAGUUCGGGAGAGGUGAGUGGAACUGCGAGUGUAGAGGUGAAAUUCGUAGAUAUUCGCAAGAACACCAGUGGCGAAGGCGGCUCACUGGCCCGAUACUGACGCUGAGGCGCGAAAGCUAGGGGAGCAAACAGG